GUGGGGAAUUUUGGACAAUGGGCGAAAGCCUGAUCCAGCAAUGCCGCGUGUGUGAAGAAGGCCUUCGGGUUGUAAAGCACUUUUGGCAGGGAAGAAACAGUGCGUGCUAAUACCAUGCGCGAAUGACGGUACCUGCAGAAUAAGCACCGGCUAACUACGUGCCAGCAGCCGCGGUAAUACGUAGGGUGCAAGCGUUAAUCGGAAUUACUGGGCGUAAAGCGUGCGCAGGCGGCUUUGUAAGACGGAUGUGAAAGCCCCGGGCGCAACCUGGGAAGUGCAUUCGUGACUGCAAGGCUAGAGUGUGCCAGAGGGAGGUGGAAUUCCGCGUGUAGCAGUGAAAUGCGUAGAGAUGCGGAGGAACACCGAUGGCGAAGGCAGCCUCCUGGGAUAACACUGACGCUCAGGCACGAAAGCGUGGGGAGCAAACAGGAUUAGAAACCCCGGUAGUCC
Molecule: ribosomal RNA, 450 nt
Filed under: uncultured bacterium
Lineage: Bacteria
Description: partial 16S ribosomal RNA
Rfam family: Bacterial small subunit ribosomal RNA
Source: RNAcentral